GUGACAUUUUUAUCUGCAAGAUUAGGAAUCUCCAGCAAGUGUAUGCUACUAGUGCCAAAUGAGUUGAGCAACUAAAGAUUACAUGGGUUCCACGUGAUGUCAUCUCAUCAACAUUUAUUGAUCAUUUUUCCUUCUAUUUGAUUUAUUUAUUUAUUUUUAAUUCUGAAAAGCAUUUUCCUCCUCCUAUAAAUGAAUGCUUAUAUGAACACUUUUAACAUGUUGUAUGUAGGGAGUGAGAAUUGUAUGGGUGUAUCACAUCACUUGGCUAGUGAAUUCAGCUUGCCAUGUCUGGGGAAGACAGGCAUGGAACACUGGCGAUCUAUCUCGGAACAAUUGGUGGGUGGCAGUGCUUGCAUUUGGAGAGGGUUGGCAUAACAAUCACCAUGCUUUUGAAUACUCUGCUAGACAUGGACUCGAAUGGUGGCAACUUGACAUGACUUGGUAUGUGGUGAGGUUGCUUCAAGCUAUUGGAUUGGCCACUGAUGUCAAGGUUCCAACACAGAGUCAGAAGCAAAGGAUGUCUCUCAACAAUGGAGGCAUUGCCUUUUAGAUUUUCUUUGUUUUUGAUGGCAUAUUAGCCUAGGCUCUGUUUUUUCUGUACUGUUAAAGACUCUUAAAAACUUGAUUGAAUAUGGCGAGCGACUCUUUACUCUUGCUGAAGCUAUAAUUAAUGCAUAAAUGAUACAAAUUUUAUC
Molecule: long non-coding RNA, 695 nt
Organism: Cornus florida
Lineage: Eukaryota; Viridiplantae; Streptophyta; Magnoliopsida; Cornales; Cornaceae
Exons: 2
Source: RefSeq, a predicted model, not a curated record